UGAUCCUGGCUCAGAUUGAACGCUGGCGGCAGGCCUAACACAUGCAAGUCGAGCGGUAACAUUUCUAGCUUGCUAGAAGAUGACGAGCGGCGGACGGGUGAGUAAUACUUGGGGAUCUGCCUGAUGGCGGGGGCAACCACUGGAAACGGUGGCUAAUACCGCAUAAUGCCUACGGGCCAAAGUGUGGGACCUUCGGGCCACAUGCCAUCAGAUGAACCCAAGCGAGAUUAGCUAGUUGGUGAGGUAACGGCUCACCAAGGCGACGGUCUCUAGCUGUUCUGAGAGGAUGAUCAGCCACACUGGGACUGAGACACGGCCCAGACUCCUACGGGAGGCAGCAGUAGGGAAUAUUGGACAAUGGGCGCAAGCCUGAUCCAGCCAUGCCGCGUGUGUGAAGAAGGCCUUCGGGUUGUAAAGCACUUUCAGUGGUGAGGAAGGCGUUGUAGUUAAUAGCUGCAACGAUUGACGUUAGCCACAGAAGAAGCACCGGCUAACUCCGUGCCAGCAGCCGCGGUAAUACGGAGGGUGCGAGCGUUAAUCGGAAUUACUGGGCGUAAAGCGCACGUAGGCGGCUUGUUAAGCAAGAUGUGAAAGCCCAGGGCUCAACCUUGGAAUUGCAUUUUGAACUGGCAAGCUAGAGUUUUGAAGAGGGCGGUAGAAUUUCCAGUGUAGCGGUGAAAUGCGUAGAUAUUGGAAGGAAUACCAGUGGCGAAGGCGGCCACCUGGUCAAAAACUGACGCUGAGGAGCGAAAGCGUGGGGAGCAACA
Molecule: ribosomal RNA, 767 nt
Filed under: uncultured bacterium
Lineage: Bacteria
Description: bacterial SSU rRNA
Rfam family: Bacterial small subunit ribosomal RNA
Source: RNAcentral